CCUACGGGAGGCAGCAGUGAGGAAUAUUGGUCAAUGGGCGGAAGCCUGAACCAGCCAAGUCGCGUGAGGGAUUAAGGCCCUGCGGGUCGUAAACCUCUUUUGCCGGGGAGCAGAGGUCCGGACAUGUCCGGGCCGGGAGAGUACCCGGAGAAAAGGCAUGGGCUAACUCUGUGCCCGCAGCCGCGGUAAUACGGGGGAUGCGAGGUUUCUCCGGAUUUAUUGGGUUUAAAGGGUGCGUAGGCGGGCAUUUAAGCCGGCGGUAAAAUGUCGGGGCUCAACCCGGGCCUGCCGUCGGAACUGGGUGCCUUGAGUGGGCGAGAAGUAUGCGGAAUGCGUGGUGUAGCGGUGAAAUGCAUAGAUAUCACGCAGAACCCCGAUUGCGAAGGCAGCAUACCGGCGCCCUACUGACGCUGAGGCACGAAAGUGCGGGUAUCGAACAGGAUUAGAUACCCGGGUAGUC
Molecule: ribosomal RNA, 460 nt
Filed under: uncultured bacterium
Lineage: Bacteria
Description: partial 16S ribosomal RNA
Rfam family: Bacterial small subunit ribosomal RNA
Source: RNAcentral